AUGUAUGCAACGACCUACAGCACCCACGUCUGUACAUUCCCUUUUCACUUUCUGAAUUUCCACUCCUUUUGUUUAGCUGAUGAGAUUGAUUUGAAAGUAUCGUCGAAAAAAGAAGGUGAUUUGGAAGUAUUUACCAAUAGUGAAAAUGCUACCAACGCAAAUCAAGCGAGAUGCGCCAUCUCGCACACUGUACAGAUGCAUUUUGUACGUACGUACGUACGUACUACCUGCUGGCCAAGAUCUAUUGAGAAAGAGCGGCUAUAUACGUGUCACGUGUGUGUGUGUCGUAUGCACGUUGCGAGCAUACUGAAGUUGCUGCGGCGGAGACGCUACUGUGCCGACGGCCGGCAACGGCCGGGGCCUGAGACGGCGGCCGAGGCCUGCGCCACAAGGACGUCGGCGCGCUCGCAACAUGUUUGGGGAGGGGGCGACUCGGUGGCCGACGGCGCCGGCGACACGACGAGGGCGCGCCGGCAGGAGGGGCAGGUGGAGCUGGAGAGCAGCCACACGUCGACGCAGGCGGCGUGGAAGCCGUGGCCGCACGUCGGGAGCACGCGCACCUCGUCGCCGCGCGCGAACUCCACCAAGCAGAUGGCGCACUCCGGCCGCUCCCCAGCCUCCUCAUCAUUCUUCUCCUGCUCUGGCCGCCAGGACACGGUCGGCAGCGCUUGCAGCGCCUUCUUCUUGAUCCCCUUGCACGGCGCGGCGACUGCCCCCGGUGCGUCGACGGAGAAGGCGGAGGGGUUGCACAGGCGGGAGCACCGGGCGACCAUGGCCAGCCCGACCACGCAGAGCAGGAAGCAGAGCACCGCCGCCAGGAUGAGCAGCGUGUCCGUGUGCACGCUCAUCCCGCCCCGCGCCAUGGCGGCCGCCGGAGGCGCGGCCAGCGCGGCGAGGCGGUCGACGGACUGCUGCAGCAUGUGGCGCGGCAUUUUUCUCGCUCCUUCUCUUCUGUGUGGGGCAGGAACUCUGAGAUGA
Molecule: ribosomal RNA, 978 nt
Filed under: Triticum aestivum (bread wheat)
Lineage: Eukaryota; Viridiplantae; Streptophyta; Magnoliopsida; Poales; Poaceae
Description: partial small subunit ribosomal RNA
Source: RNAcentral